AUCUAAUUUUGCAUUGUUAUUUUGCUUGAAUUUAGGAAAGCUAGAAGCUUUUAAAGUGAUUUCCUAAAUUCAAGCAAAACAACAAUGGAAAAUCAGACG
Molecule: non-coding RNA, 99 nt
Organism: Podarcis lilfordi (Lilford's wall lizard)
Lineage: Eukaryota; Metazoa; Chordata; Lepidosauria; Squamata; Lacertidae
Source: the annotation of a GenBank genome assembly